Molecule: ribosomal RNA, 404 nt
Filed under: uncultured bacterium
Lineage: Bacteria
Description: partial 16S ribosomal RNA
Rfam family: Bacterial small subunit ribosomal RNA
Source: RNAcentral
AUUGAACGCUGGCGGCAGGCCUAACACAUGCAAGUCGAGCGAGCGGCGGCCGGGUGAGUAAUGCCUGGGAAUUGCCCAGUCGAGGGGGAUAACAGUUGGAAACGACUGCUAAUACCGCAUACGAUGGGAUUGCCCAGGUGGGAUUCUCUAGUUGGUGAGGGAAUGGAUCACCAAGGCGACGAUCCCUAGCUGGGCUGAGAGGAUGAUAAGCCACACUGGAACUGAGACACGGGCCAGACUCAGACGGGAGGCAGCAGUGGGGAAGAGUGCACAAUGGGGGAAACCCUGAUGCCGCCAUGCCGCGUGUGUGAAGAAGGCCUUCGGGUGGUAAAGCACUGUCAGCGAGGAGGCGUUACGCGCAGAAGAAGCACCGGCUAACUCCGUGCCAGCAGCCGCGGUAAUAC